Molecule: transfer RNA, 69 nt
Filed under: Ictidomys tridecemlineatus (thirteen-lined ground squirrel)
Lineage: Eukaryota; Metazoa; Chordata; Mammalia; Rodentia; Sciuridae
Description: Spermophilus tridecemlineatus (thirteen-lined ground squirrel) tRNA
Rfam family: tRNA
About the family: Transfer RNA (tRNA) molecules are approximately 80 nucleotides in length. Their secondary structure includes four short double-helical elements and three loops (D, anti-codon, and T loops). Further hydrogen bonds mediate the characteristic L-shaped molecular structure. tRNAs have two regions of fundamental functional importance: the anti-codon, which is responsible for specific mRNA codon recognition, and the 3' end, to which the tRNAs corresponding amino acid is attached (by aminoacyl-tRNA synthetases). tRNAs cope with the degeneracy of the genetic code in two manners: having more than one tRNA (with a specific anti-codon) for a particular amino acid; and 'wobble' base-pairing, i.e. permitting non-standard base-pairing at the 3rd anti-codon position.
Source: Rfam by way of RNAcentral
GGGGAUGUAGCUCAGUGGUACAGCACUUGCCUGGCAUGCAUGAGGCCCUGGGUUUGAUCCCCAAUGCCA